ACUCAAAUGAAUUGACGGGGGCCCGCACAAGCGGUGGAGUAUGUGGCUCAAUUCGAUGCAACGCGAAGAACCUUACCUGGCCUUGACAUGCACUAGACAGACGCUGAAAGGCGUUCUCCCUUCGGGGCUGGUGCACAGGUGCUGCAUGGCUGUCGUCAGCUCGUGUCGUGAGAUGUUGCGUUAAGUCGCGCAACGAGCGCAACCCCUGUCCUUAGUUGCCAUCAUUAAGUUGGGCACUCUAGGGAGACAAACCCUCUUUGAGGGUGGGAAGGUGGGGAUGACGUCAAGUCAGGAUGGCCCUUACGGCCAGGGCUGCACACGUACUACAAUGCCCGGUACAGAGGGAAGCAAUACCGCGAGGUGGAGCAAAUCCUCAAAACCGGGCCCAGUUCAGAUUGUAGUCUGCAACUCGACUACAUGAAGUUGGAAUCGCUAGUAAUGGCGCAUCAGCUACGGCGCCGUGAAUACGUUCCCGGGCCUUGUACACACCGCCCGU
Molecule: ribosomal RNA, 496 nt
Filed under: uncultured bacterium
Lineage: Bacteria
Description: partial 16S ribosomal RNA
Rfam family: Bacterial small subunit ribosomal RNA
Source: RNAcentral